Molecule: ribosomal RNA, 497 nt
Filed under: uncultured bacterium
Lineage: Bacteria
Description: partial 16S ribosomal RNA
Rfam family: Bacterial small subunit ribosomal RNA
Source: RNAcentral
GAUGAACGCUGGCGGCGUGCCUAAUACAUGCAAGUCGAGCGAACAGACGAGGAGCUUGCUCCUCUGACGUUAGCGGCGGACGGGUGAGUAACACGUGGAUAACCUACCUAUAAGACUGGGAUAACUUCGGGAAACCGGAGCUAAUACCGGAUAAUAUAUUGAACCGCAUGGUUCAAUAGUGAAAGACGGUUUUGCUGUCACUUAUAGAUGGAUCCGCGCCGCAUUAGCUAGUUGGUAAGGUAACGGCUUACCAAGGCAACGAUGCGUAGCCGACCUGAGAGGGUGAUCGGCCACACUGUGACUGAGACACGGUCCAGACUCCUACGGGAGGCAGCAGUAGGGAAUCUUCCGCAAUGGGCGAAAGCCUGACGGAGCAACGCCGCGUGAGUGAUGAAGGUCUUCGGAUCGUAAAACUCUGUUAUUAGGGAAGAACAAAUGUGUAAGUAACUAUGCACGUCUUGACGGUACCUAAUCAGAAAGCCACGGCUAACUACGUG